RNAcentral lists this ribosomal RNA (2199 nucleotides) under Triticum aestivum (bread wheat). Its description in RNAcentral is "partial small subunit ribosomal RNA". The record is from RNAcentral. Lineage: Eukaryota; Viridiplantae; Streptophyta; Magnoliopsida; Poales; Poaceae.
AUGUCAGCCCUCCAAAUUAUCGAUCUUUCAUCUAACAGACUUUCUGGAAGCAUACCUUCAACACUUGCAAACGCAUCGCACCUCCGCCGGAUUGAUCUUGGAAACAACUCCCUAGUUGGAACAGUCCCAUCUCUAGGAUCCUUAUCUGACUUACACCUACUAAUUCUUCGAAAUAACUUACUAGAGGCUAAAAGUUGGGAAUUCCUUAUCUCUCUCGCAAAUUGUGCGCGGCUACAAAUGUUGGAAAUGAGUGGGAAUAAGCUGAGUGGAAGUGUCCCUAGAUCUGUAGGGAAUAUUUCCACAAGUUUACAACGUAUAAAUCUUGGAAACAAUCAAAUUGUCGGCAGAAUUCCAGUUGAGAUUUUUAACCUUCGAAACCUCCAAAUGCUUGCUAUGGGCCAAAACAUGCUUUCCGGCGUUAUUCCCUCUGUUAUUGGGAACCUAGGCCAGCUGGUUGUCCUAAUCCUAUCAGAGAACAAAUUAUCUGGCCAGAUCCCAUCUACAAUAGGUAAUCUUUCUCGGCUAAACAAGCUUUAUCUAGACAGAAACUACUUGAGUGGGAACAUCCCAAGAACUUUAGGAAAUUACAAGCAACUGGACAUGCUAAAUUUAUCUUUUAACAAUCUUGAAGGACCAAUUCCAAGUGAGCUUACCAAUAGCACUACCCUCGUCACUUUGGAUUUAUCAAACAACUUCCUUACAGGAUCAAUUCCGCUACAAAUCGGUGCAUUGCUUCAACUUCUCCAACUCGAUAUUUCCUUCAACAGAUUGUCUGGCCAAGUUCCACUUUCACUUGGCCAAUGUGUUGAACUAUCUUCUCUCAGAUUGAAAAGUAACAUGCUUAAUGGAAGCAUACCUCAGUCUUUCAGUAACCUGAAGAACGUCGAUCAGAUCUAUCUUUCCCAAAAGUCCCUUGUUGGACAAAUUCCGGAGUUCUUUGCAAACAUGAGUUAUUUGCAGCAACUUGAUCUGUCUAUGAACUACUUUGAAGGGCCGAUUCCAACUGGUGGCAUCUUUCAGAAUCAUAGUGCGGUGGCAUUGGAUGGCAAUGAAGAGCUUUGUGCAAGUGUAACCACCACCUUAUUCCAGUUUCCACUUUGCCCCAUGGCGUCAGCUGUUGAGAGGAAGAAUGCACUCCUAUUGGUGAAAAUAAUUCCUCCCAUUGCUAUUGCCUUGCUCUACUUUAUAUGCUUUGUCUUCACUCUUCUGAAGAGAAGGCAAGCACAAGCAGCUCCAUGCUACAAGGAGACAAUGAAGAAGGUUUCAUAUAGUGACAUUAUUAAAGCUACCAGCUGGCUCUCUCCAGUUAACAAGAUCAGCUCAAGUCGCACAGGUUCGAUCUACAUUGGAAGGUUUGAGUUUGACACGGACCUGGUCGCCAUCAAGUUAUUCCAUCUUGAGGAGAAUGGUGCACGUGAUAGCUUUGUUACCGAGUGUGAGGUGCUGCGAAACACCCGCCAUCGCAAUCUUGUCAAAGCUGUCACCGUAUGCUCGACAGUAGACCUAGAGAACAAUGAAUUCAAAGCUAUAGUUUUUGACUUCAUGGCCAAUGGAAGCCUGGAUAUGUGGGUCCAUCCGAAGCUACACAACAAUAGCCCCAAGAGAGUACUGAGCUUGGGCCAAAGGAUAAGAAUAGCGAUGGACGUCGCGCUGGCUCUGGAUUAUAUGCACAACCAGUUAACGCCUCCUCUAAUCCACUGUGAUUUGAAGCCCGGAAAUGUUCUUCUGGACUAUGAUAUGACCGCAAGGAUUGGUGAUUUUGGGUCAGCGAGGUUUCUCUCUUCAAUCCCUGGUAGUCCAGAAGACUUGGUUGGUGUGGAAGGAACAAUUGGAUACAUCGCACCUGAGUAUUGUAUGGGAUACAAAGUCUCGCCAGGAUGUGAUGUAUAUGCUUUUGGAAUCCUCAUUCUAGAAAUGCUCACCGGAAGGCGACCGACGGAUGCAAUAUUCACAGAUGGCCUGAGCCUGCACAAGCUUGUGAGCUCAGCAUUUCCAGGUAGACUUGGAGAGGUUUUAGAUCCCCAUUUGUCUCACGGUCACACACAUCCGUGUGACAGAGUGUUUAUGCGGAGAUAUAUGGUACCCUUGGUUGAAGUUGGCCUCCUGUGUUCUAUGGAAUUGCCUGAAGAUCGUCCGGGAAUGGGAGAAGUCUGUGCCAGAAUUUUGUCUCUGAAAGAGGCAUUCUUUGAGUUCUGCUGA